GUCUACUUGACUGGCCACCAAGAUGCAUGCCAGUACAUGCAUCCUCCGAUGGCAGAGACCAGAUAGGUCGCAAAACCAAGCUCUCAAGACAUAGAACAAGAUAAAAGGCCUGGACAACAGGCUUAUAGAGAUGCCUGUGUCUUAUGACAAACAACAAAAAGACAGAGACAAGGAAAAGUACUAUCUCUGGGAGGAAAAGGAUCUACAACCAGGGUCUGGGAUCUCUUGGCUGCAGCAGUCCAGGAGCAAGCAGUGCCCAGCCAGUGAAAUUUUAUCCUGCCCAAGUCGCCAAACUGUAAGGGAGGAAGACAUUUCCUCUACCCACUGUGUGUUCUUCUGGCCAGAGAAUGAAUUUAAUUCACAUGAGACAGAAUGACAGGAGAAAAUUAAACAAAGCUUUAUAACAUGCAUACAUGGGAGAGGCUCAGGCAACCUGAGCAACUUGCCAAAAUGGCUGAAGCCCCCACCUUAAAUAUCAUCUUCAGCUAAAGACAAGGGAGGAUGUUGGGGGUGGGGGAAGUCAGCUACAGGAGGUUACCAGACAAGUACAAUAAACAGGAACAAGAUUAUUAUGCGGAUUUAAGUCCUUGCCUUCUGCAUUGAUAAGAGUUUCUAGAGAUAAGGUCAUUCCCCUUCUUCCUGGUGCAGAGAGGGAGGAAACUUUGCAGAUGGAGAUUUCCUUUACAGUGUAAAUGUCUCUUAACAAAGGGUAGUAAAUUCUACUCCUCAGAGCUCCUUGCCUAUCUGCAGUUUAUUAAAAGUAACCAGCCCCAAAUAACCCUCAUGCCAAAGAGACAUAUCUUGGGGUAGCAAAUUCCAGUCCCCCACACUUUCUUUCCAAAUCCAGGCCCAUUGGUUUUUGACCCUUCCUAGCCCAGAGAGAGCUAUUGCCUUCUUGCUUGCCUCAUUUUGUAUCCAAAGGGCUUGGCUUUCUGCCUGCCAGGGAUAUUCAGGCUGUUGGUUCUUUG
This 968-nucleotide long non-coding RNA is filed under the name Equus caballus (horse). Its description in RNAcentral is "lncRNA (ENSECAG00000044007.1)". Lineage: Eukaryota; Metazoa; Chordata; Mammalia; Perissodactyla; Equidae. The record is from RNAcentral.